GCUUACGGCCAUACCAGCCUGAAAGCGCCCGAUCUCGUCAGAUCUCGGAAGCUAUGCAAGGUCGGGCCUGGUUAGUACUUGGAUGGGAGACUUCCUGGGAAUACCAGGUGCUGUAAGCA
This 119-nucleotide ribosomal RNA is filed under the name Hucho hucho (huchen). Lineage: Eukaryota; Metazoa; Chordata; Actinopteri; Salmoniformes; Salmonidae. The record is from RNAcentral.